Molecule: transfer RNA, 72 nt
Filed under: Camelus bactrianus (Bactrian camel)
Lineage: Eukaryota; Metazoa; Chordata; Mammalia; Artiodactyla; Camelidae
Also listed under: 1 other name
Rfam family: tRNA
About the family: Transfer RNA (tRNA) molecules are approximately 80 nucleotides in length.
Source: Rfam by way of RNAcentral
GAGGGUGCAGCUCAGUGGGAGAGUGCGUGCUUAGCACGCACGAGGUCCUGGGUUCAAUCCCCCGUGCCUCCG